GGGGGCGUUAUGGAUUCGACAUAAAUAAGACUUUUUAAGUUCAUGUCGAGAUUAACUUCUCUCGUUAAUCAAAAGUUAAUAUAUAUUAUUUGCCAAUAAUAAACUUUGUUGUGCUCAGAAUUUUAGCUUAGCUGCAUAAUUCAAAUUCAUAUUUUAUGUUUACUAUUUCAUAAUAAUUGAAUUUUGAGCUCUAAAUAAUAGUAUAGUGCUCAUUAACGUCUUAGUAUUGAGCGUUGAUAAUAUAAUAAGACUUAAUUUAAUAAAUCUUGCUCAUCAGGUUUGUUAACAAAGUUUUUUAAAGAUGAAGCUAAACAUGUAUAAACUUACUAAUUAUAGUUUAUGGACGUGGGUUCAAAUCCCACCGCCUCCA
RNAcentral lists this transfer-messenger RNA (370 nucleotides) under Candidatus Portiera aleyrodidarum (primary endosymbiont of Bemisia tabaci). RNAcentral describes it as "transfer-messenger RNA, SsrA". It matches the Rfam family "transfer-messenger RNA". Rfam says of the family: Bacterial tmRNA, also known as 10Sa RNA or SsrA, is named for its dual tRNA and mRNA-like properties. Its role is to liberate the mRNA from a stalled ribosome. The record is from RNAcentral. Lineage: Bacteria; Pseudomonadati; Pseudomonadota; Gammaproteobacteria; Johnevansiales (SeqCode); Johnevansiaceae (SeqCode).